CAACGAUCUCUACUAUUGAAUAGGGUUUAGUUUUGAGAAUCUAAUUGUGUAGAAGUAGGGAUUUAUUCAGCUGAUAUAUAAAUGUAUAUCCUCACAUUAUCAUAUUAGGGUUUCACUCAAACCAGCCUAUUAUCAGUAAGAGUGAUAAUCUCUAUCUCUUCAAUAAGAUUAAGUCCCAUCAUGACUCUCAUUCCUUGUAUUUACUUAAUAAAGGCCCUUAAUUAAUUGCAUUAAUGUAAUUAGGACUCCAAAUAUGUUUAUACUCCUUAAGGCACCUUAAGGCACCGAGAGUCCUAGAUAUUUCAUUAACUUGUAUGCAAAGUCAACUAUUCUCUCAAUAAUUCUCGGCAUAAUUCAUUGCCAUUCACAAAAUGGUUUUACAAAAAGUACACAAUGCCAAAGUUUAAAUCAAAGUUUCCAACCAGUUCAUAGUUCCUCAUGAACUUUAUGCUAAAUGACCAGGGAAAGAGUAAGCAAAUAUGCAAUGCAAGACAGCACUUUACUUGAUAAACAAAAUUGUAGUAAAAACUAAAGAUCCAUGGUCUCAAUUCUAACUGAUUUGCUAAACUGAUAUAAUAAUAUUGAUGAAAGUACAAAACCAUAUUAUAUUAGGUUCUGACGUGAGUGAUUAGCAGGUUGUUAACGUGUAUAACGGAAAACCGAUGCUCACAUGAGACCUUGUUAGUUAUUUGCAUAGAAUCAAUCGCCAAGAAAUGCCUAAUGAUAAAAUGAGCAGCCUUUUAUACCUAGUUAGGUAAAUAACGCCUUGUUGAAUCAAUCUAUGCUAACAUCCUCAGACUAUACUAAUUAGUACUUAGAUACCGAAGCCAAGCCACAGACCAAAAAGCCGAGUCGAAUGCUUCUCUUGUUUUUGUCUCACUUUUUGUGUGGAAAAACUAGGGCCCUUGUACAAAGUUGAAUUAAAAUAGCCCUAGAAAGAAACGUUUAUCUUGGUCUCCUUUCCUCUUUGUCAAGAAACCCGUUACUAAACUUGUCUCGAGUUCGACAAGAGAAGAGAAAGAAGAGAGAUGAAAACAAGAGUUAAGAGAAGAUGCCAAUGAAAGUAACAGAGAAGGAGGAGAUGAAGAGUUAAUAAAAUAAAAUAAUUUUUAAAAUAGUUCAAUUUUCACUCGCUUUGUACAUUGUUUCCAUCUUUUGCUCGAAAAAGUCUUCAACGGAGACUGAGACAAGUCAUCUCUUACAUUAUGAUGUAGGAUCCACAAAAUUUUGUGAGUUUCACCUUGUUUUUGAAAGAGAAUAAUGUUUUUCAGUUGGUCUUUUCUCUGAGUACAACUUUGCUGCUGCAAUUCUUCUAUGUCGUCGGCAUUGCCAACAGCCUAAUUUCUGAUAUCAGGACUAGCAGACAAAAGAAAUAAAAAUAAUUGCAAGAUUAUGUUUUUCUGAUCACCCCGGCUGACUAGUCAGGAGACUGACAAGAUAUAACAUGAAAACCAAAUUUGUACGACGGAAGUGCAGACAAGUGAAAGCUAGCUUAUUAGGGUGUUCAAAAAUAUAGAAUCAGUUGGUCAAAGGGAACGAAAAUCUGUGCAAACACAAUUAGAUGCAGUAUCUUGCAUUUAUAAUUUUUUAAAAUCAGUUGUAUCUUGGACGGACCUCUAGCGAUACUGGACAAAGACAUCAAAUUCCAAAGUCAUCCUUAACGAAAAAUUAACGGGGAAGUUAUAUCAGUUGUAUGAACCACUUUGCAGUCCUCGUAUUUCAGAUCUAUGUAUUUUUAUGUGCUAGAUAGACAUGGAAAGAAUAAGCAAAAAUGCAUUAUAUUUGACAGAAACAAUUGUAGUUAAAACUAAAGCUAAAUUUAAUAAUCAAAGCACAAAUCGAUAUGUAAGUCUCCGUAUGAGUGAUUAAUACGUCAUUUUUCUUGCUUGUAUAACGAAAAGUGAUGCUUGAGUGAGACCUUUGU
RNAcentral lists this long non-coding RNA (1924 nucleotides) under Malus domestica (apple). RNAcentral's name for it is "long non-coding RNA (MDOM_LNC014604)". Lineage: Eukaryota; Viridiplantae; Streptophyta; Magnoliopsida; Rosales; Rosaceae. The record is from RNAcentral.